CCGGGAAUAAAAAAAAAAAUAUUUUUGGGUUUGGGGUUAGCGAAGGCAAGGGGGGUUUUUCCCCUA
RNAcentral lists this transfer RNA (66 nucleotides) under Boodlea composita. RNAcentral describes it as "tRNA-Pro". Lineage: Eukaryota; Viridiplantae; Chlorophyta; Ulvophyceae; Cladophorales; Boodleaceae. The record is from RNAcentral.